AACCUGGCUGGGUGGUCGUGCCAAUGGUAUGCACUGGCCUUGCUGAUUCCUCCCUCUUGAUGAGCCGUAAUGUCAUUAAUUUGGUGUUGUGGGGAAUCAGGACUGUUACUUUGAAAAAUUAGAGUGUUUAAAGCAGGCAAGCGCUUGAAUACAUUAGCAUGGAAUAAUGAAAUAGGACGUUUAAUCCUAUUUUGUUGGUUUCUAGGAUUGACGUAAUGAU
Molecule: ribosomal RNA, 220 nt
Filed under: uncultured fungus
Lineage: Eukaryota; Fungi
Description: partial 18S ribosomal RNA
Rfam family: Eukaryotic small subunit ribosomal RNA (bases 40-220)
Source: RNAcentral